RNAcentral lists this ribosomal RNA (444 nucleotides) under uncultured bacterium. Its description in RNAcentral is "partial 16S ribosomal RNA". It matches the Rfam family "Bacterial small subunit ribosomal RNA", at positions 331 to 792 of the family's 1533-position model. The record is from RNAcentral.
CCAGACUCCUACGGGAGGCAGCAGUAGGGAAUUUUGCGCAAUGGGGGAAACCCUGACGCAGCAACACCGCGUGAAUGUUAAGCCCUUCGGGGUGUAAAGUUCUGUCAAUAGGGACGAAUUUUGACUGUACCUAUAAAGGAAGCACCGGCUAACUCCGUGCCAGCAGCCGCGGUAAUACGGGGGGUGCAAGCGUUGUCCGGAAUCAUUGGGCGUAAAGCGUUCGUAGGCGGUAUGUCAAGUCUGAUGUUAAAGCCCGGGGCUCAACUCCGGUUCGGCAUUGGAUACUGGCAAACUAGAAUGUGGUAGAGGUAAAGGGAAUUCCUGGUGUAGCGGUGAAAUGCGUAGAUAUCAGGAGGAACAUCGGUGGCGAAGGCAGCAUACCGGUGCACAACUGACGCUCAGGCACGAAAGCGUGGGUAUCGAACAGGAUUAGAUACCCUCGUA